AGUUAAUUAGCAAUAAUAAGCAUUAUAUCUUGAAAAUAUAAAAAAGAAUAAAAAUUCUAUUAACUU
This 66-nucleotide transfer RNA is filed under the name Zecheuna tonkinensis. RNAcentral's name for it is "tRNA-Ser". The record is from RNAcentral. Lineage: Eukaryota; Metazoa; Arthropoda; Insecta; Hemiptera; Flatidae.